Molecule: ribosomal RNA, 424 nt
Filed under: uncultured bacterium
Lineage: Bacteria
Description: bacterial SSU rRNA
Rfam family: Bacterial small subunit ribosomal RNA
Source: RNAcentral
GUGGGGAAUAUUGCACAAUGGGCGAAAGCCUGAUGCAGCAACGCCGCGUGAACGAUGAAGGUCUUCGGAUCGUAAAGUUCUGUUGCAGGGGAAGAUAAUGACGGUACCCUGUGAGGAAGCCCCGGCUAACUACGUGCCAGCAGCCGCGGUAAUACGUAGGGGGCUAGCGUUAUCCGGAUUUACUGGGCGUAAAGGGUGCGUAGGUGGUCCUUCAAGUCGGUGGUUAAAGGCUACGGCUCAACCGUAGUAAGCCGCCGAAACUGGAGGACUUGAGUGCAGGAGAGGAAAGUGGAAUUCCCAGUGUAGCGGUGAAAUGCGUAGAUAUUGGGAGGAACACCAGUAGCGAAGGCGGCUUUCUGGACUGCAACUGACACUGAGGCACGAAAGCGUGGGUAGCAAACAGGAUUAGAAACCCUAGUAGUCC